This is a non-coding RNA of Heterocephalus glaber (naked mole-rat), 2625 nucleotides long. The record is from RefSeq and is a predicted model, not a curated record. Lineage: Eukaryota; Metazoa; Chordata; Mammalia; Rodentia; Bathyergidae.
CGGGAAGGCCAACGUGGGCGCUCGCUAGCUCUCUCCCAGCGCAGAGGCAGGGCGAGGGGACAACAAAGGGGCAGGAACUCCGGAAGGCGCACCAUCUUUAGAGAUCACUCACCACCUUAGUCUGGAAGUCGCUACACGGACAGGUUUGCUUCCUCUCUUUUCCUCCUCUCCAAAGGACCUGUCACCCAGCCUAAUACAGAAAGACACCCAGCAUAUGUGUAUUGAACAGAUGAGUCAGUUGGAUGUGUUGGGGGACUAGCAGUGUACCAGCUUAUUUUCUAAUAGUUUAAAGAAUGCAGAACACUUGCCCAUGGAGUCAGAAGGAAGAGAGUGACAAGGACCAGUAUAAUCUCCAGGGGAAACUGGGAUGCAAAAAGACACCCGUGGAAGGUAUAUAAUGAGAAGACAUGGGAAGAAGGUGGUCAUCUACCAACCAAGGAACAUCGGAGGCAACCAGAAGCCAGGAGAGAGGCCUGGAACAGAUUAUCCCUCACCACCUUCACAGGGAACCUCCCUGUGUUUCUGCCAACCACCCCACCAACUCCUGGAUUUCAGACUUCCAGCCUUCAGAACUGUGAAAGAAUAAAGCCAACAACUGGAGAGACAGAGUGACGGGAAGAGAAAGAGCUUUAUUAAUAACAAGCCAGCUUGGAAGAUGGGGUCAAACACCCUUAGUGACCAUCCUGGCACCUACCCUAAGCUUGAACCUUUGAUGUGACUUUUGCAAGGGGAGGGGUACAGGUCCCAGACAGGUAGACACCAGCACUGUUUAUUCAUCUUGCUUUGGAGCUCAGUGAGCACCCUGAGUUCCCUGACCAUGUGAAUCUAAAUACACCUGCCUGUUCUGAACCCUGUCUCAUAAAAUAACGAUAAACAAUAAAAUAAAUUCUGUUGAUCAGUUUCUGAUUUUUGUUAUGGUCCAUUCCUGCUGUGUUCUUCUGACCGUUGGCAUUCCAGGUGUGACCUUGCCCACAGCCAGGGGGCUAGGAGUGUUCAGAAAGAAAAAGUGUCCCAUAUUCCUAGCUGGCCUUGGUGUGCAGUUUAAUCGGGCAAGCAGACAGAAAAGAAAAUCUGUCUCAGAGAGAGAAUUUCACUUGUGCCAGGAAAAUUUUUCUUUACCCCAUUAGGUACCUUCCAUCCUAACCUGCUGGGAAGAAGAAAAGAAUAUGGGAGCCAAUGUGAAGGGACCAGUUUAACCUAAUGAUGACAACAUGGUAGUGGAGCAGCCAGAUUUCCAGAUGUUGAAGACAGCAUGUUUGCUCUCCAGUGUGGCUGGGCUGAGAGAAUUCUAUGUGGACAAAAAGUUAUAAGCAUAUGGGAAGAAGUCAGAGGUGGAAGAAGACUGAGACAUAACGGAAAGGGGAACAAUUGAUAGAGGACAGCCCCUGGGUGGUGAAGGGGAGCUGUAAGACAUGGGCAUGAGUGGAACAUAACCCACCCCGAAGUCUACCACUGGGCCCUCAUACAUGUAUCUGCUCAGGCCCUAGGUCCACAGCCCUUCCAAGUCCUAUGUGACAGCGCCUUUCUCUGUUUCUCAGCCAGAUUUGCACAUAACUCGUAACUCCUCAAGCACUUAAAGAUAAGCACGUGCCAAGGCAUGGUGGUGCACAUCUGUAAUCCCAGCACUCCAGGAGGCUGAAGUAGGAAGACCACAAGUUCAAAUCCAGCCCAGGCAACUUAGUAAGACUCUAUUUCAAAAUUAAAAAUUAACAAGGGCUGGGAUAUAGCUCAUUGAGAAGGUCCUGGGUUCAGUACCACACACAUACACACACACACACAUACACACACACACGCACACGCACACAAGCAUUAAACGAAGGAAAUUAUCUUUCUAUCUUUGAAAUAGUGGGGAUAGAAAAAUCAGUCUUAUCAGGGAUACUUAAUGUCUCUUCUUGUCAAAGAAGAAACAAAAGACAGUUAUUAAUCACUAUGGCGAAGUAUCAUCAGUAACUUGAAUCCUCUGAAAUGUUUACACAAGUAGACAAGUCAGGCAGUGGGGAAAGACUUGGGUCUACCUUAAAUAGAAACACUCUUCUCUGACCUUAAACUUGACUGUCAACUGCCCACAUGUAUUAAUCCAAAGAGGGAGGCUGGCCAGCUUGGAAAUGUGCAGAGGGGAACCAGCCAAGGUCAUUAUUAACAGUGGCCACUGAGCUUUGAGUCAUGAGCCAAGGCUUUUGCCUGCCAAUAUUCUAUCCUAUUGGCAAGUCGUCAAGGGAGGAAAUGGGUGCGGGCUCCCUUCGCCCUGCUGCCCCAAGUCACUCCACUCACCUUCGGGGUUCCCCAUCCUGGUCGAAAUCCAGUCUAGGCCAAUUAAAGAAGAAUCCAUGAGGACAGACCCCAGGCAGCUACCCACCACCACCACCCAGGUGCUUCUGAUGUGCAGCCAGCAAUACCUUGAUUGACAAAUCCCAUGCCCACCAUUAACAGUUUUCACAUGAGCUACAUCAGCCAGGAAAUGAGGCAGCAUUCUGGACAUUCCUUCAAAGCUUGGUCACUGUGAAGCCUCUGCUAAAACAGCUUCUCCCUUCUGUGUGCUGCUGCCAGCAAGAUGGAGGGCCAGCCCCAGGCCCCGAUGAGGUCACCAAAGUGAAGAAAUGUUGCUUCCAGAAAUCUCUUGGGUGG